This 72-nucleotide transfer RNA is filed under the name Hymenobacter sp. RNAcentral describes it as "tRNA-Glu". It matches the Rfam family "tRNA". Rfam says of the family: Transfer RNA (tRNA) molecules are approximately 80 nucleotides in length. Their secondary structure includes four short double-helical elements and three loops (D, anti-codon, and T loops). The record is from RNAcentral. Lineage: Bacteria; Pseudomonadati; Bacteroidota; Cytophagia; Cytophagales; Hymenobacteraceae.
GGUCUUUUGGUGCAUCGGUUAGCACUACGCUUUUUCAAGGCGUCGAGACGGGUUCAAUUCCCGUAAAGACUA